CCCGCGGCAAGACGGAAAGACCCCGUGAACCUUUACUAUAGCUUGACACUGAACAUUGAGCCUUGAUGUGUAGGAUAGGUGGGAGGCUUUGAAGCGUGGACGCCAGUCUGCGUGGAGCCAACCUUGAAAUACCACCCUUUAAUGUUUGAUGUUCUAACGUUGGCCCCUGACCGGGGUUGCGGACAGUGUCUGGUGGGUAGUUUGACUGGGGCGGUCUCCUCCCAAAGCGUAACGGAGGAGCACGAAGGUUAGCUAAUCCUGGUCGGACAUCAGGAGGUUAGUGCAAUGGCAUAAGCUAGCUUGACUGCGAGCGUGACGGCGCGAGCAGGUGCGAAAGCAGGUCAUAGUGAUCCGGUGGUUCUGAAUGGAAGGGCCAUCGCUCAACGGAUAAAAGGUACUCCGGGGAUAACAGGCUGAUACCGCCCAAGAGUUCAUAUCGACGGCGGUGUUUGGCACCUCGAUGUCGGCUCAUCACAUCCUGGGGCUGAAGUAGGUCCCAAGGGUAUGGCUGUUCGCCAUUUAAAGUGGUACGCGAGCUGGGUUUAGAACGUCGUGAGACAGUUCGGUCCCUAUCUGCCGUGGGCGCUGGAG
Molecule: ribosomal RNA, 591 nt
Filed under: Klebsiella pneumoniae
Lineage: Bacteria; Pseudomonadati; Pseudomonadota; Gammaproteobacteria; Enterobacterales; Enterobacteriaceae
Description: partial 23S ribosomal RNA
Rfam family: Bacterial large subunit ribosomal RNA
Source: RNAcentral